UGUGUGAUGGGCCCAUGUCCCUCCUUCUGC
RNAcentral lists this non-coding RNA (30 nucleotides) under Rattus norvegicus (Norway rat). The record is from RNAcentral. Lineage: Eukaryota; Metazoa; Chordata; Mammalia; Rodentia; Muridae.